This 102-nucleotide ribosomal RNA is filed under the name Coelorinchus japonicus (Japanese grenadier). Its description in RNAcentral is "partial 16S rRNA". Lineage: Eukaryota; Metazoa; Chordata; Actinopteri; Gadiformes; Macrouridae. The record is from RNAcentral.
CACCUAAAAGCUAGCCUACCCAAUUUUAACCUAUAAUAAGAUUAAAAACUUUCAAUACAUAAAGUAAAUCAUUCAUAAACCCUAGUAUGAGAGACAAAAAAG